CCUACGGGAGGCAGCAGUGGGGAAUAUUGCGCAAUGGGGGAAACCCUGACGCAGCAACGCCGCGUGAGUGAAGACGUAUCUCGGUAUGUAAAGCUCUAUCAGCGGGGAAGAAGGAAGACGGUACCCGACUAAGAAGCGCCGGCUAACUACGUGCCAGCAGCCGCGGUAAUACGUAGGGGUCGAGCGUUAUCCGGAUUUACUGGGUGUAAAGGGAGCGUAGACGGGGACGCAAGGCUGAAGUGAAAGCCAGUGGCUCAACCGCGGAACCGCUUUGGAAACUGCGAGGCUGGAGUGCUGGAGAGGUAAGCGGAAUUCCUGGUGUAGCGGUGAAAUGCGUAGAUAUCAGGAGGAACACCAGUGGCGAAGGCGGCUUACUGGACAGCGACUGACGUUGAGGCUCGAAAGCGUGGGGAGCGAACAGGAUUAGAUACCCGGGUAGUC
This 441-nucleotide ribosomal RNA is filed under the name uncultured bacterium. RNAcentral describes it as "partial 16S ribosomal RNA". It matches the Rfam family "Bacterial small subunit ribosomal RNA", at positions 338 to 795 of the family's 1533-position model. The record is from RNAcentral.